This 305-nucleotide unclassified non-coding RNA is filed under the name plant metagenome. RNAcentral describes it as "partial contains 5.8S ribosomal RNA, internal transcribed spacer 2, and large subunit ribosomal RNA". The stretch from base 1 to 105 matches the Rfam family "5.8S ribosomal RNA", at positions 50 to 154 of the family's 154-position model. The record is from RNAcentral.
GAAAUGCGAUAAGUAAUGUGAAUUGCAGAAUUCAGUGAAUCAUCGAAUCUUUGAACGCACAUUGCGCCCGCCAGUAUUCUGGCGGGCAUGCCUGUUCGAGCGUCAUUUCAACCAUCAAGCCCCCGGCUUGUGUUGGGGACCUGCGGCUGCCCGCAGGCCCUGAAAAACAGUGGCGGGCUCGCUGUCACACCGAGCGUAGUAGCAUACAUUCCCGCUCAGGGCGUGCUGCGGGUUCCGGCCGUUAAACGACCUUCAUAACCCAAGGUUGACCUCGGAUCAGGUAGGAAGACCCGCUGAACUUAAGC